RNAcentral lists this ribosomal RNA (789 nucleotides) under uncultured archaeon. RNAcentral's name for it is "bacterial SSU rRNA". It matches the Rfam family "Archaeal small subunit ribosomal RNA", at positions 85 to 875 of the family's 1478-position model. The record is from RNAcentral.
ACGGCUCAGUAACACGUGGAUAACCUGCCCUAGGGAAGGGGAUAAUCCCGGGAAACUGGGGAUAAUACCCUAUAGGUUUCAGAUGCUGGAAUGCUCUGUAACCCAAAGUUCCGGCGCCUUAGGAUGGAUCUGCGGCCGAUUAGGUUGUUGUUGGGGUAACGGCCCAACAAGCCCUUGAUCGGUACGGGUUGUGGGAGCAAGAGCCCGGAGAUGGAUUCUGAGACACUAAUCCAGGCCCUACGGGGUGCAGCAGGCGCGAAAACUUUACAAUGCUGGGAACAGCGAUAAGGGAACCUCGAGUGCCAGGUUACAAAUCUGGCUGUCGUGAUGCCUAAAAAGCAUUAUAUAGCAAGGGCCGGGCAAGACCGGUGCCAGCCGCCGCGGUAACACCGGCGGCUCGAGUGGUAACCGUUAUUAUUGGGUCUAAAGGGUCUGUAGCCGGCCGGAUAAGUCUCUUGGGAAAUCUGGCAGCUUAACUGUCAGGCUUUCAGGGGAUACUGUCUGGCUCGAGGCCGGGAGAGGUGAGAGGUACUUCAGGGGUAGGGGUGAAAUCUUGUAAUCCUUGAAGGACCACCAGUGGCGAAGGCGUCUCACCAGAACGGACCUGACGGCAAGGGACGAAAGCUAGGGGCACGAACCGGAUUAGAUACCCGGGUAGUCCUAGCCGUAAACGAUACUCGCUAGGUGUCGGCCACGGUGCGACCGUUGUCGGUGCCGUAGGGAAGCCGUGAAGCGAGCCACCUGGGAAGUACGGCCGCAAGGCUGAAACUUAAAGGAAUUGGCGGGGGA